This 253-nucleotide ribosomal RNA is filed under the name uncultured bacterium. RNAcentral describes it as "partial 16S ribosomal RNA". It matches the Rfam family "Bacterial small subunit ribosomal RNA", at positions 524 to 776 of the family's 1533-position model. The record is from RNAcentral.
CACGUAGGAGGCGAGCGUUGUCCGGAAUCAUUGGGCGUAAAGAGCGCGCAGGCGGCUUGGCAAGUCGGGUGUGAAAUCCCGGGGCUCAACCCCGGGACUGCAUUCGAUACUGUCAGGCUAGAGGUAGGUAGGGGAGAUCGGAGUUCCUGGUGUAGCGGUGAAAUGCGCAGAUAUCAGGAGGAACACCGGUGGCGAAGGCGGAUCUCUGGGCCUUACCUGACGCUCAGGCGCGAAAGCUAGGGGAGCGAACAGG